RNAcentral lists this ribosomal RNA (224 nucleotides) under uncultured bacterium. RNAcentral's name for it is "partial 16S ribosomal RNA". It matches the Rfam family "Bacterial small subunit ribosomal RNA", at positions 1159 to 1382 of the family's 1533-position model. The record is from RNAcentral.
AAACCGGACGGGAAGUGGGAGUGACGUCAAGUCCUCAUGGCCCUUAUGGUAGGGCUUCACACGUCCUACAGUGGCCGUUACAAUGGGAAGCUACAUCGCGAGGUGAUGCCAAUCCUGUAAAAGCGGCCAUGGUUCGGAUUGCAGGCUGCAACUCGCCUGCAUGAAGAUGGAAUCGCUAGUAAUCACUGAUCAGCAUGCAGUGGUGAAUACGUUCCCGGGUCCUU